Homo sapiens (human) is the source of this 4869-nucleotide long non-coding RNA. RefSeq lists it as uncharacterized. NCBI's taxonomy places the organism in Eukaryota, Metazoa, Chordata, Mammalia, Primates, Hominidae. The record is from RefSeq and is a predicted model, not a curated record. The transcript has 4 exons.
UCUGGGGAGACAACAGAACGUUAAGAGCAGCCCUGAGGCGGACACGGGCUGAUCCCAACAGCAGUAAGAUCCUACAAUACAAGCCCUGCUUCAUUGGUCCUGGGGGUAGCAGCCUCCACUGCCUCCCGGAUGAUUUUAGCAGGCAAGCAGUGCUUGCGUAUGACAAGCAGUCGAGUUCAACGUGAGGCAAGACUAAAACUGAUGCACCCUGGGAACAAGCUAAAUUGUUCUCCGGGGCAGGCACACUGCAAUCUCAGGGAAGACAGCUUCGUGGAAGGGGAAGGCUAUCUGAGCUGUGUAAAGAGGGAAAGUCAAUUUCCCUCUCUGAUCCUUCCUCAUCUGUAACCCGGGGACCUUCAGAUCUAACUCUGGCUCCCACACUACCUGUUAGGUGCCCUGGAAGGCCACUGCAAAUUCGCAAAGAGUGUCUGGGGGAGGUUGUACAUUUUCAAAUGCAAUCCCAGGAUAUCCAUGAGACACCAGGUAAACUUGAAGCUUGAAGCAGUUCAGGCUUCCAACAUCAGAUUACCACAUCUCUUGUGAUGACGUGACCACUUUGCAAAGCUGUUUUUCAAAGUACCCUGAUAAAAAGCAAACACCAAGGAACUUCAUGUGAAACAGAAACUAGGUUAGUGGUCUCCAAUCUGAUCCCAAGAUUUGAGAGGCGGUGCCGUGCCCCAUAGGUGCUACAUUGUUAAGGCACAAAUACUUAUUAAAGUGUUUUGAUCUAUUUAAAAAGAGAGCCUUGGGUAUUAUUUCUUUUGGCCAGGGGCUCUGUGAAAAAUUUCCUGAGAUACUAACGUGCUGUGAACCAAGGCAGUUUCGGAACCUCUAACCUAACUCAGUAGGCUUCAAUGAAGACCGAAUAAGAUGAUGUCUGGGAGAGUACUUUGAAAAGUUGAAGGCAGAAGUUGGCAAACUUUCUGUAAAGGGCCAGGCAACUACUCACUUCUGCUGAUGUAGCACACAUUGAAGGCGUCAAAUGGAUGGGCAUGUUUUCUAAAAUAACUUAUUUACAAAAACACUUGGUGGACUGGAUUUGGCCACCUAGGCCAUAAUUUGCUAACUUCUGGUCUAAAGUGUGUCCUAGAGUGCAUGAAAGAAGCUGGAGAAAAAUCACCAUGGAGUUUAUCCUGGUUUUGCCUCUCAUGGAAAGAAGAGAGACAACUGAAGCCUCAAUCCAGGUAAAGAAGCAUUCUUGCAAGCCCAUCCAUGUAAAGUGUAUGAAAAGUGGGCCUUUUCCCUGAAAUUAUCCAGAUCCUGAUUUCAUUUACAUUUUGUUUUAUGAUUUUGGGGAAAUUCCAUCAGUAACCUAACAGGUUUAUUUCCUAUCUUUAGGAAAUAAAUAUACAGAUAGUAAAUUGUGCAGUUCGUAUCUGCAGAGCUUUCAUUCUUGGUCAUCUUUUUAUAACAUCAAAGAUAACUGCAACAAACAGGUCUGGGGACAAGAACAGGGAAGCACAAGACCAGUUUCACUGCAGCUAUAAAAAUAACCCUUUGUUUCCCAUUGUACUUUACAAGCAGGCGGCACUCUGCGUGUCCUGGAAAGGUUGGGUCUGCUGACCUUGGAGGGUUUUUUAUGAUCAGUAAGGAGCAGGGACAUAUGGCCCCAGGUGAAACCUUGGGUGAGUUGGGCCGUCCAUACAAGGCUCAUGAGAUAAGUCAUCUCACUUGGGCCUUUCAGGGUCCGGUGAAAUGAGUAUAAUCCCCUCACUUUACAGACCAACAAACUGAGGUUCAAAGAGGCUAAUAAACUGGCCCAACGAUGUACAAUGAGUAAGUAAGUGGUUAUGUCACUUCACAUGUUUAGCCUUUCCCAGUCUCAUCUGUCAAAGGGUCUGUAAGAUUCUCUUCAAAACUUGCACAACCCCACCCCUCUGGGAAGGCACCAGAAAGCCUGAGCCAGCUCUCCUGGGAGGCUGCAGGGCAGUGAGUGUGCCUGCAUCCAGUGGCAGCAGUGCACACAGGGAGCGAGCAGCACCAGGCACUUCUCCCUCCAUGGCAGGGUCUACACGUCCCCCAGUGCACAUCUCAAGCUCAUACGAUACACUCUGCCAAGUCCAUUUUGAAUUCCAUGGCCUGAAUCAUUAACUUUCAAAGCCAAAGCAUUUAAAAGAUAAAAUUAUCCUCUUGGCACUCCUCAAACUGUGCUCUUGACCUCUUCUGUUAGGCUACAGUUUUGUUUCUGGCUGUGCAAAUGUCACAUAAUGCCACUGCACCCGGCAGUAUCUUCUUCAUAGCAACAGAUCAUAAUAAAAGUCCCUCGGAGGCUGUUUGUGUUUCACAUACACAUGGAAUGAAAGAAAAAUGCAGUGUGCUAUAUAAAGCAAGAGAAAUGCAUAAGCUUCAUCUUUCAUUUGCAGCCAAUUGGUUUUAAUAAGCUUUUAUGCUGAGAGGUGAAUAAUUAGCAUAUGUUCUUAAUUAAGAUUGUUCUAGAGCAGUAGAGUGCUCCAGGUCGUUAAAAAUGGUUUUGUGUCUCAAUGUCUUAAUUCUCUUAUCUUCUCAUCAGUCAAAAUACUUACAAGAAAUGAGAAUGUUUAGAUUUUUGUAUUUGCAUAAAUAAAUACUAGAAGGAAAAAUAAGGAAUUCAUUAAAACGGUUAUCAGUAUUGACGGUAGAUGCAGGGUAAAGGGGAAGGAAUGGGAGCAGGAUUUCCUUAUGUAUAAUUUUAAUUUUAUUUUGACUUUAGAAACAGGUAAAUGUAUUACCUGCUUCAAACUGAUGGAUGGACAGACAGAAAGAGCAGCAAACCAACAAGCCUCCAGCUCUCAGGCCUCUCACCUCUGGCCUUGCAUUUUCUUAAGUGUGGGUCAGCGUUAUAAGGAAAUCAGACAAAAAUACAGGAGAUGGAGUUUUGCUCUGUCACCCAGGCUGGAGGGCAAUGACACCACCAUAGCUCACUGGAGCCUGGAGCUCCUGGGCUCACAUGAUCCUCCCACCUCAGCCUCCCAGGUAGCUGGGACUACAGCCACACACCACUGUGGUGGGCUCACAGCUCUCAGUAAAUUAUGGAGACUACUGCAAAAUUCAAUAAAUGCUCGCACCGGAAAGGACAGUGGAAAAUCCCAAACUUUUAAAGCUUGCCCAGGAAUAGGAAAGCUUUCUUCCAGGCGAUCCAAGGACCAGCCUCCGUAAGACCAGGACCCAAACUUCAGUUUGCAGUGCUGCACAUCAAAGGGAAACCAGCGUACAUCGAUGUAGCAGGAACUCUUGAAUAUGCCUGUGUGGGUGAUGGAAACAGAAGACUGAAACGGAAGCUGACUGAGAUGUGCUGAAAAUACACAGCAGUUCCUUCAGCCGGUUCCGCCCUCCGCACUGCAGCUAACACAGUCCAGAGCAAACGGAAUCUGUCUUUUUAUUUAUUCGCAAAAUCUGUAAAACAGAAUCUCAGCUAAGCUUCACUGUCUUUUAAAAUCCAAACGUAACACUGACAUGCUCUCUCAAAGACUGUUUUGUGGGCUUUUUGUGCAAAAAGUUAGCUCUAUAAUCUGCAUUUACCAUGAGCAUCUUCAGACUCUAAAUAAUAAAAGUAAAGAAUGCAAAAUAUCUCAGAGAAGUUGAUAACCCUGAUGAUGAAGUUAGAAAUAGAAUCUAAAAGGUGUGUGUGUGUGUGUGUGUGUCUGUUUGGUGCGGGGUGAGGUAGGCAUUUUCUUUAGGUUAAAAAUGGGAAGAACACAUGAUUAUCGAGAAAUACAAUCUAGAAUUCUGGUUAAAGCUAGAAUUUUAACUAAUUUAAAUUCUAGAUGAAGAACAGAACAAGCUGGGCACAGUGUCUCAUGCCCGUAAUCCCAGUGACUCUAAGACAUUGACGUGGGAGGGUCACUUGAGACUAGGAGUUUGAGACCGGACUGGGCAACAUAGUGAGACAUCUCUAAUAAAAAAAAUUAGCUGGGUGAGGUGAUGCAUGCCUGUAGUCCCAGCUACUCAGAAGGCUAAGGCAGGAGCAUUGCUUGAGCCCAGGAGUUUGAGGCUAAAGUGAAGUGAGCUAUGAUCGAGCCCCUGCACUCCAGCCUGGGGAACACACCUAGAAUCUGUCUGUAAGAAAAAAAGUUAAAACAAACAAACAAACAAACAAACAAAAACAAGAACAGAUAGAUAGGUUUAAGCUGAAGAGAUGGUGCUUGAAGGAAGAGUUUCCGCUGAAAAGAGCUAUUCCAGGCUAGGACAGGUUGGAAGUGGAUUUCCCAGAGGGCCAAGGGGAGGAAACCAGAUAGAGGCCACUCCAGUUAUUUACACUCAUGUGCUCUUCCCUGCCCAGAGGAAGGCUGCAUGGCACAAGAAGACAGGCACAGACUCGGUGUCCAGGUGUUCCUGGGGCAGGGCUGGCACUCUGCAAACUUCUGUUACUGAGUUACAGAAAGAGUGCACGCAGGAAGGGCCUCCACAGCCUUGCACACAAGGACCCCACCCCACAACCGAGUUGGGAAAAGAUACACAUUUUGUCCCCUGAAGUUCCUUUAAGUAUGCUUUGCGUCCUUACAUGAAAUGUUUAUAGGAAUCUGGAAUCAUCACAGACAAUCCCCCUCCAUUAAUAGUUGGAUCCCCCCAAAACCCACCUUGUCUGCCAGUUAGUUGGAAAGCUUUGUAACUUCAUGAGCCCAUUUCUACGAAAUAAUGGCCCGAGACAGAGAAUUUCUAGAGACAGAAAGCAGAUCAGUGGUUGCUGGGAGUAGGAAUGGGAAUUAACUGCAAACAAGCAAAAGGGAUCUUUGUGGGGUGAUGGGAAUGUUCUAAAACUAGACUGUGGUAAUGGUUGCAUAAGUCUGUAAAUAUACUAAAAGUUGUUGAAUCAUGUACUUAAAAUGCAUGAUAUGUAAAUUCUCUCUCAAUAAAGCUGUUAAAAAAUAAACACAUGAAAUGGGGGGGAAA